GCCCGCUCAAGAACUACAAGGAAUUGACGGGCCCGCACAAGCGGUGGAGUAUGUGGUUUAAUUCGAUGCAACGCGAAGAACCUUACCUGGUCUUGACAUCCCGGAGACCCUUAGGAAACUAGGGGGUGCUUCCAUCUGGAAGAAUCUGGAGACAGGUGCUGCAUGGCUGUCGUCAGCUCGUGUCGUGAGAUGUUGGGUUAAGUCCCGCAACGAGCGCAACCCUUGCCUUUAGUUGCCAGCAGUUCGGCUGGGCACUCUAAAGGGACUGCCGGUGUUAAACCGGAGGAAGGUGGGGAUGACGUCAAGUCCUCAUGGCCUUUAUGACCAGGGCUACACACGUACUACAAUGGCCGAUACAAAGGGCAGCGACACUGCGAGGUGAAGCCAAUCCCGUAAAAUCGGUCUCAGUCCGGAUUGGAGUCUGCAACUCGACUCCAUGAAGUUGGAAUCGCUAGUAAUCGUGGAUCAGCAUGCCACGGUGAAUACGUUCCCGGGCCUU
RNAcentral lists this ribosomal RNA (499 nucleotides) under uncultured Desulfobulbus sp. RNAcentral describes it as "bacterial SSU rRNA". It matches the Rfam family "Bacterial small subunit ribosomal RNA", at positions 904 to 1382 of the family's 1533-position model. The record is from RNAcentral. Lineage: Bacteria; Pseudomonadati; Thermodesulfobacteriota; Desulfobulbia; Desulfobulbales; Desulfobulbaceae.